Molecule: transfer RNA, 66 nt
Filed under: Apatides fortis
Lineage: Eukaryota; Metazoa; Arthropoda; Insecta; Coleoptera; Bostrichidae
Description: tRNA-Val
Source: RNAcentral
CAAGUUGGAGCUUGUAUUUAAGCGUUUUGUUUACACCAAAAAGAAAUUAUUUGUUAAUUAACUUGA